This 917-nucleotide ribosomal RNA is filed under the name Seimatosporium sp. MFLUCC 13-0529. RNAcentral's name for it is "SSU rRNA". It matches the Rfam family "Eukaryotic small subunit ribosomal RNA", at positions 49 to 976 of the family's 1831-position model. The record is from RNAcentral. Lineage: Eukaryota; Fungi; Ascomycota; Sordariomycetes; Amphisphaeriales; Sporocadaceae.
CCAUGCAUGUCUAAGUAUAAGCAAUUAUACAGCGAAACUGCGAAUGGCUCAUUAAAUCAGUUAUCGUUUAUUUGAUAGUACCUUACUACUUGGAUAACCGUGGUAAUUCUAGAGCUAAUACAUGCUAAAAACCCCGACUUACGAAGGGGUGUAUUUAUUAGAUUAAAAACCAAUGCCCUUCUGGGCUCUUUGGUGAUUCAUAAUAACUUUUCGAAUCGCAUGGCCUUGCGCCGGCGAUGGUUCAUUCAAAUUUCUGCCCUAUCAACUUUCGAUGGCAGGGUCUUGGCCUGCCAUGGUUACAACGGGUAACGGAGGGUUAGGGCUCGACCCCGGAGAAGGAGCCUGAGAAACGGCUACUACAUCCAAGGAAGGCAGCAGGCGCGCAAAUUACCCAAUCCCGAUUCGGGGAGGUAGUGACAAUAAAUACUGAUACAGGGCUCUUUUGGGUCUUGUAAUUGGAAUGAGUACAAUUUAAAUCCCUUAACGAGGAACAAUUGGAGGGCAAGUCUGGUGCCAGCAGCCGCGGUAAUUCCAGCUCCAAUAGCGUAUAUUAAAGUUGUUGCAGUUAAAAAGCUCGUAGUUGAACCUUGGGCCUGGCUGGCCGGUCCGCCUCACCGCGUGCACUGGUUCGGCCGGGCCUUUCCCUCUGGGGAACCCUAUGGUCUUCACUGAUCGUAGCGGGGAACCAGGACUUUUACUGUGAAAAAAUUAGAGUGUUCAAAGCAGGCCUAUGCUCGAAUACAUUAGCAUGGAAUAAUAAAAUAGGACGUGUGGUUCUAUUUUGUUGGUUUCUAGGACCGCCGUAAUGAUUAAUAGGGACAGUCGGGGGCAUCAGUAUUCAAUUGUCAGAGGUGAAAUUCUUGGAUUUAUUGAAGACUAACUACUGCGAAAGCAUUUGCCAAGGAUGUUUUCAUUAA